UCCCUCCCCGAGAUCGCGCAACAAGUCCCCCUUUUUGGGAAUCCCCUCUGGCCUGGACGGCGGAGGAGGCAUCUUUGGCAUCGAUCUCGGCCGAGCAGCUCGACGUGGAGGUGUACGCGACAUAGUGUGCGGUGCAGACCAGCCUCACACACCUCAUCUAGGACAGCAACCAAUUAGGGAUGCACUGAUGCAGCAGGCGGCGUUGCGUUGGGGACGUGUCGCGGGCUAGCCAUGGCUAGCAGCUAGGCGGCGUCGACUAUCCCUGUCCAGGCUAGCAGGCUAUCGGGCCCCGUGCGGGUGCUUGUCUCCGAGGCCAUCGACGAGCGAGUGGCGGAGGGUGAGGAAGGGGAUGGCGCGAUGAGGCUAUUCGUGGGCCUCCCGUGGACGCGGUGGUCUCUGGCAGCUAGCAUCACCCUUCCUCCUUCCUGUUGGAUUGGUUUCGCUUGCACUCACCAGGACACGCAUUUCAGGUGACGAGAAGACAGACCACCUGAAGCACCUCGAGAUCAGCCCCAAAGAUUGUCUUCGAUAUCCAGGUGAGGGUAACAGCAGCGGCUGCAUCAUGUGGAAAGAUAACAUCGUUGAUGUCAAGUACAAAGAAAAUGGGCAGGAUCUCUAUCUUGGGCUGGCAAACUCUGAAAUAGGUAGCAAAAACUGAAGCAGUCAAGAUUCUGAUGCAAAACUCAACAUCUUAUCAGCUGCUACUAAUAAAUACAUUUAUGUAGCUACAAGGAAGAAUAUGGGGCGUGUGGCAAAGAUCUCGGUCCCGGUGAUGGCUUCUGUGCUUGCACUCAUGGCCACCGGCAUGUACCUUGUUUGGAUAUGCAAGCUUAGAGGUACAAUUGGAGGGAGCCAAUAUAUUCACCAUAAAGAACUAUCCAGCUCAGUUUUUUUGUAUUGCUAGCAUAAGGUUUAUCAAUAACAAUUGGAGUGGCUCUUCCUGUCAGCCAAACGUCAGAACAAGGAUAAUUUGAGCAAAGCGAUCCUAGGAUACUUGAGUGCGUCAAACGAACUCGGUGAUGAAAAAUGUAGAGCUUCCAUUUGUCAUCUUUGGAAACAAUGCAACUGCAACAGACAAUUUUUCUUCUGAGAACAUGCUCGGGCAAGGUGGCUUUGGGAAGGUUUACAAGGUCAGUAAUAAAAAAUGCACACAUCUUCUAAAUAAAUUGUAGAACCGUGAGAAUUAUGGCAUUGCUUGUUCAGUACAACAAUGGCGAAACAAAACAACGCAGGGUAUGCUGGGACACAACAUAGAAGUCGCAAUCAAAAGGCUCGGCCAAGGUUCAGGACAAGGCGCGUAGGAAUUCAGAAACAAAGUUGUUCUAAAUGCAAAGCUGCAGCACAGAAACCUCGUUCGACUUAUUGGAUGGUGCAUCGACAGAGAUGAGAAGUUGUUGGUUUACGAAUACUUACCAAACAGAAGCUUGGAUUAUGUUAUCUUUGAUGCUGCAAGGCAACAUCUCCUCUGUUGGCCAACACAUUUCAAGAUAAUCAAAGGAGUGUCUAGAGGGCUUCUCUAUUUUCACCAUGAUUCAAGGUUGACUAUAAUUCAUAGAGAUCUUAAGACGAGUAACAUACUAUUGGACGCGGAUAUGAACCCCAAGAUAUCAGAUUUUGCAAUGGCAAGCAUCUUUUGUGCAUACCGGAAUGAAGCAAUUAUGAAUCGAGUCGUUGGGACAUACGAGGGGUGGUUGUGUCGUCCAUGGUUGCUGUCAGCCCCAAAGAUUGGCCUGAAGGUAAGGUCCAAGAUGAGACGUGCUGGUCAGAUCAAGAGUUCUACAAGAGCAUUAAGGGAACCUGUGCAGAACUUGUUGCGGGUGUUACCUAUCGUCUACUGAUACAUGACGAGCAGUAGCUCAAUAGUGUGCGACAAUGUAAAUGGGUACUUUCCUGUGUCUUCCUAUGCCAUCAUUAUCGACUUCUCUUUGUCAUUUUAUUACUACUCAUGUUCAUGUAGACCAAUGUUAAUCCUUUUUUAUGUUGCAGACAAGUAGUGAUUGUGAUGUAAAGCCAAUGGUUAGACUCUUAAGUCAAUAUUCUAUUGGUGAAACACUUUUAUCAAGCGUCUGCUAAGAACAAGUCAUCCUGAUUUUUAUAUC
Molecule: long non-coding RNA, 2099 nt
Organism: Zea mays
Lineage: Eukaryota; Viridiplantae; Streptophyta; Magnoliopsida; Poales; Poaceae
Exons: 3
Source: RefSeq, a predicted model, not a curated record